UUUUACUCGCAUCCCUUUUUACCGUGUUUUUACCGGUGAAUUGUUUUGAUUCGUUUUCAUUAAUAAUUUAAAGUAAAUCUUCAUCCUCAAUUUGAAAAGUUUAUAUAGUCUUAAUCAAAUAUCGUCGUCUAAAAAUUAUAAAGGGAAAAUCUUCAAAAAUCACGAAGCGUCGAAUGGCGUCGGACUCCAAACUCUGAACUCCGAACUCCAACCAAAUUCCAAAAAAUCGAAGAAGUUCUGUACUGGGAUAUCGUGGUAUAAGCAUCAACUCAAUUUUGGACAAUGCAUUGAGUCUAAAGCAAAAACAGCUGGCAAGAAACUUGGCAACCUCCACAAACCAUUCUUCACGCCGGAACGGCUUCUGUAGACCUGUUCUCAGUAGUGGACUGGCAAUGGGUUGAUCAUAGACUGGCGAUAGUUGAGAAUAGAGAAGGGCUUAGCGGGGCGAAUUUUCGAUUUGAUUUCUUAAUCUUUGAAGCACUAACCAAAAAUGAGAUGAAAUAGUUGGUUUACAAUGCCCUGAGAUCAAGGGUUCAGCUAGGAGUAUGCCCAUAAGUAGUUGGACUGCUGUGAGAAAUGAUUCUCACUCAAUGUAGAAUACGAAGAUUACACUGAUGAAUAACCAUCUAGCAUUGGAUUGAGCAGAGUUGAUUGACCUAUGGGGACAGACAACAUCAAAUGAGUCUUAGGGCUGUUAAAUACAAGAGGCACAAGACUGCUGUAUGGACACCCUUUCUUCUUGCUGGUUUGGCGGCUAUGCAGGGUCCUUAAGACCUUGUAUCACAUUGACUGUUGCCGAUCUAUUGUGAUUGCCAUGGAAACCCUUACAAAAGACCUACGUAUAGCUGUGGAGGGCCAUCUCCUAAUAGAAAAGCGAGACUACCUAAUCGAGCAAAGACAGCAAACAAAAACUAAACAUAUGAAGACCUAACAAAAGAUUGAAAAGUAAUUAUAUCCCCUAAAAUGUAUUUGAAUUGUCGAUAAGUUUCACGAAAAACGAUACAGCAAAGUUACAUGGGAAUUGUUUUGUCCGUCAUUCCGUUUUUCGCCAUUGGCGACAUGUUUUGUAAAAAAAAUAUGUUUUUAUUGUGGAUACCUAAAGUUUUACCAUAAACGGUCCAUCCAAAAACAAGCACUGGUUCUGACCAUUUUCCUUUCUUUGUAAAAGUGCUCUAGAUAGGUGUCCUCUUUGUAAAAAAAUGGAAUUCGUUUUUUUUAAUGUUAGCAAGAAAUAUAUUGAUGAAUUCUGCAUAUAAAUAUGGUCCUUACAAGUCUUUCAAGGUUUGUCAAAGUUUGUUCAGCAAAAAUAGCAAUGGUUCUGACCAUUUUUCAACAGUUUUUUUUUAUGGGUGAAAUGUUUUUGUGGGAAAACGACACUAUGAAAAUGGUAUGAAUAUUUUAUAAUUUAUGUUAUUUGCAUAGUCUAAC
Molecule: long non-coding RNA, 1428 nt
Organism: Maniola jurtina (meadow brown)
Lineage: Eukaryota; Metazoa; Arthropoda; Insecta; Lepidoptera; Nymphalidae
Exons: 2
Source: RefSeq, a predicted model, not a curated record